This 253-nucleotide ribosomal RNA is filed under the name uncultured bacterium. RNAcentral describes it as "partial 16S ribosomal RNA". It matches the Rfam family "Bacterial small subunit ribosomal RNA", at positions 524 to 776 of the family's 1533-position model. The record is from RNAcentral.
UACAGGGGGUGCAAACGUUGCUCGGAAUCAUUGGGCGUAAAGCGCACGUAGGCGGUCUGCUAUGUCGGAUGUGAAAGCCCUUGGCUCAACUGAGGAAGUGCAUCCGAAACUGGCAGGCUAGAGUACUAAAGAGGAUCGCGGAAUUCCCGGUGUAGAGGUGAAAUUCGUAGAUAUCGGGAGGAACACCGGUGGCGAAGGCGGCGAUCUGGGUAGAUACUGACGCUGAGGUGCGAAAGCGUGGGGAGCAAACAGG